Long non-coding RNA from Oncorhynchus tshawytscha (Chinook salmon), 1516 nucleotides. The record is from Ensembl. Lineage: Eukaryota; Metazoa; Chordata; Actinopteri; Salmoniformes; Salmonidae.
CCUUGGUGUUCUUUACCUGUGUUCUGGAAUAGAACUGAGUGCUCCUUGGUGUUCUUUAUCUGUGUUCUGGAAUAGAACUGAGUGCUCCUUGGUGUUCUUUAUCUGGGUUCUGGAAUAGAAUUCAGUGCCCCUUGGUGUUCUUUACCUGUGUUCUGGAAUAGAACUGAGUGCUCCUUGCUGUUCUUUUUAGCAAAGCUAAACGCUUAAAACAAUCAGCUCCACGAAAAGGAGAUACAAAACUAAUACCAUAGACAUUCAUUGUUUUUGUCCUGAAAAUAAAAACAGACAAAUGAAAUAACUUACAAAUUCCAUGAGAAGAGCCUGUGGUUGUUUCCAGAAGUAUAAGAAGCAGAAGCACAGUUUUACAGACAUGGGCUGCAGUGGUAUAAUGUAGGCUAUGUACCCACUGGGCACAGACGUCAGUUCAACAUCUAGUUUUCAUUUAUAUUUGGUUGAGUUGUCAACUAACAUGAAUCCAAUGUGAAAUUAACUAAAAAUGUCACGAUGACAUUGGAGUUAGGUUAAAAGAUGGGUGUAAAAUAGACUAAAUUCCCAUUGGUUGAUAACUUUCUAAUCCAAUCAGUUUUCCACAUUGAUUGAAUUUCAUCGCAGAUAAAAAAAAAUUGGUUGAAAUGCUGUAAUAACGUUGAUUCAACCAGUUUUUGCCCAGUGGGUAUUUUAUAUGAUACAGCCAGACAGGGUUGGGCUCAAUUCCAUUUCAAUUCCAGUCAAUAGAGAAAGUAAACCAAAUUCCAAAUGUUCUUUAUUGACGAGAAUUGGAAUUUCAGUGUACUUCCUGAAUUGAGCUCAACCUUGUAGCCAGGUUAGCUGGUGGUUACAGCAGGGGAACAUCACCUAGAUUCAGCCACAGAACCAUUUUUACAUUCUUCAGCAGAUGUUCAGAGGUUUGGGAAACAUCAUUAGAAAUUAUUUAUAGACUGCAAAUUGACCACAAGAAGCCACAACACAUAUAUUUGACUAAAAAACAAAUAAUUUCAAACAGAGGGUUGGUAGACAUCAUCCAGAGGGUUGGUAGACAUCAUCCAGGGGUUGAAUAUGAACCCCAAGGGAGACAUCAUCCAGGAGGUUGAAUAUGUUCCCCAGGUAGACAUCAUCCAGGGGGUUGGUAGACAUCAUCCAGGGGGUUGAAUAUGUUUCCAAGGGAGAUGUCAUCCAGGGGGUUGAAUAUGAACCCCAAGGUAGACAUCAUCCAGGGGGUUGGUAGACAUCAUCCAGGGGGUUGGUAGACAUCAUCCAGGGGUUGAAUAUGAACCCCAGGUAGACAUCAUCCAGGGGUUGAAUAUGAACCCCAGGUAGACAUCAUCCAGGGGGUUGAAUAUGAACCCACGGUAGACAUCAUCCAGGGGGUUGGUAGACAUCAUCCAGGGGGUUGAAUAUGAACCCCAAGGUAGACAUCAUCCAGAGGGUUGAAUAUGAACCCCAGGUAGACAUCAUCCAGGGGGUUGAAUAUGAACCCAAGGUAGACAUCAUCCAGAGGGUUGAAUAUGAACCCAAG